GAUGAACGCUGGCGGCGUGCCUAAUACAUGCAAGUCGAACGCUGGAGAUCUAGCUUGCUAGAUCGAAGGAGUGGCGAACGGGUGAGUAAUACAUAAGCAACCUACCCACGAAGACUGGGAUAAUCUCUGGAAACGGGGACUAAUACCGGAUAGGUAAUCGGAAGGCAUCUUCUGGUUAUUAAAGGUUAAAAACACUGGUGGAUGGGCUUAUGGCGCAUUAGUUAGUUGGUGAGGUAACGGCCCACCAAGACGAUGAUGCGUAGCCGGCCUGAGAGGGUGAACGGCCACAUUGGGACUGAGACACGGCCCAGACUCCUACGGGAGGCAGCAGUAGGGAAUUUUCGGCAAUGGGGGCAACCCUGACCGAGCAACGCCGCGUGAGUGAAGACGGCCUUCGGGUUGUAAAGCUCUGUUGUAAGGGAAGAACGGUAGAUAGAGAANAUCUAAGNGA
RNAcentral lists this ribosomal RNA (451 nucleotides) under uncultured bacterium. RNAcentral's name for it is "bacterial SSU rRNA". It matches the Rfam family "Bacterial small subunit ribosomal RNA", at positions 28 to 472 of the family's 1533-position model. The record is from RNAcentral.